GACGAACGCUGGCGGCGUGCUUAACACAUGCAAGUCGAACGGAAAGGCCCUGCUUUUGUGGGGUGCUCGAGUGGCGAACGGGUGAGUAACACGUGAGUAACCUGCCCUUGACUUUGGGAUAACUUCAGGAAACUGGGGCUAAUACCGGAUAGGAGCUCCUGCUGCAUGGUGGGGGUUGGAAAGUUUCGGCGGUUGGGGAUGGACUCGCGGCUUAUCAGCUUGUUGGUGGGGUAGUGGCUUACCAAGGCUUUGACGGGUAGCCGGCCUGAGAGGGUGACCGGCCACAUUGGGACUGGGAUACGGCCCAGACUCCUACGGGAGGCAGCAGUGGGGAAUAUUGCACAAUGGGCGGAAGCAUGAUGCAGCAACGCCGCGUGCGGGAUGACGGCCUUCGGGUUGUAAACCGCUUUCGCCUGUGACGAAGCGUGAGUGACGGUAAUGGGUAAAGAAGCACCGGCUAACUACGU
RNAcentral lists this ribosomal RNA (467 nucleotides) under uncultured bacterium. RNAcentral's name for it is "partial 16S ribosomal RNA". It matches the Rfam family "Bacterial small subunit ribosomal RNA", at positions 28 to 506 of the family's 1533-position model. The record is from RNAcentral.